GACGAACGCUGGCGGCGUGGAUUAGGCAUGCAAGUUGAGCGACAGACAGACUUCGGUCUGUUAUGGAGCAGCGAACGGGUGAGUAACACGUGAACAAUCUGUCCCUACAUUCCGGAUAAUUGGCCGAAAGGCCUUGUAAUACGGGGGAGGAUCCCGAGGGAGCAUUCUUUUGGGAGGGAAGGCGCAAGCCGUGCAGGGAGGAGUUCGCGGCCUAUCAGUUAGUUGGUGGGGUAAUGGCCACCAAGACGACGACGGGUAGCUGGUCUGAGAGGAUGGUCAGCCACAUUGGAACUGAGACACGGCCCAGACUCCUACGGGAGGCAGCAGUGGGGAAUUUUGGACAAUGGGGGCAACCCUGAUCCAGCCAUGCCGCGUGAGUGAAGAAGGCCU
Molecule: ribosomal RNA, 390 nt
Filed under: uncultured bacterium
Lineage: Bacteria
Description: bacterial SSU rRNA
Rfam family: Bacterial small subunit ribosomal RNA
Source: RNAcentral